This 325-nucleotide ribosomal RNA is filed under the name uncultured bacterium. Its description in RNAcentral is "bacterial SSU rRNA". It matches the Rfam family "Bacterial small subunit ribosomal RNA", at positions 28 to 334 of the family's 1533-position model. The record is from RNAcentral.
GAUGAACGCUGGCGGCGUGCCUAACACAUGCAAGUCGAACGGAGUUACUUGUUUAGAUCUCUUCGGAGUGACGAACUUUUAACUUAGUGGCGGACGGGUGAGUAACACGUGAGCAACCUGCCUUUCACAGGGGGAUAACAGCUAGAAAUGGCUGCUAAUACCGCAUAAGCGCACAGUGCCGCAUGGCAGUGUGUGAAAAACUCCGGUGGUAUGAGAUGGAUCCGCGUCUGAUUAGCCAGUUGGUGGGGUAACGGCCCACCAAAGCGACGAUCAGUAGCCUGCCUGAGAGGGCGACCGGCCACAUUGGGACUGAGACACGGCCCAA